Molecule: ribosomal RNA, 1716 nt
Filed under: Triticum aestivum (bread wheat)
Lineage: Eukaryota; Viridiplantae; Streptophyta; Magnoliopsida; Poales; Poaceae
Description: partial small subunit ribosomal RNA
Source: RNAcentral
AUGUCACCGUCUUCGUCGCUCUACUCCGGCCGCCUCCUUUUCUCCCGUCCGGCGUCCAAGGGGCUCGUACGUCGUCUCCUCGCUCGCGAUGGGAGCAGGUGGGUCAGGCCGUCGUGCUCCCUGUCUAUGAACGGUUGCGCAGCCGGCGCCAGCGACUUCGGCGCGGUGACCAUGUGCGAGACGAGGGCCCUGCCGGCCGCGUCGGCGCCGCAGGAGGCCGUGGGGCAGCUCAGGGCCGCCGUCGCCGCGCUCAACGCCGACCCGCCGGCGUCCUCCUCCGGCAUCAUCCGCAUCGAGGUGCCGAUUCGGCAGCGAGGGGACGCCAUCGAGUGGCUGCAAGCGCAGAGGCAGAGCUCCCUGCCCCGCUGCUUCUUCUCCGCCCGGGCACCGCUGCCGGAUACGCCGGCGCUCGCCGUGGGCAGCAGCAGCAACGGCAACGGUAGCCACAAGGAGCAGUGGGAGCAGCCGGUGAGCGUCGCCGGCGUGGGGUCGGCGGUCUUCUUCCGCGGCACGGACCCCUUCUCUCUCCACGACUGGCGAGCCAUCAAGAGAUUUCUUUCAAGGGAUUGCCCGAUGAUCCGCGCCUACGGCGCCAUCCGCUUCGACGCGUCGAGCGACGCCUCGGUCGAAUGGGAAGACUAUGGCGCAUUCUACUUCGUUGUUCCACAAGUUGAGUUCAGUGAGCUCGAGGAGGGCUCGGUUCUAGCGACGACGAUUGCGUGGGAUGACUCGCUUUCUUGGACAUAUCAGAGCGCAGUGGACGAGCUCCAAUCAACAUUGCACGAGAUAUCACCGUGUUCAGUUAAGGUGAACAGGUCCACGCUACAAACCGCCAUCGUAAAUCUCAAUCAUGUCCCCACCAAGGCGUCUUGGGAUCUUGCUGUUACUCAAGCUCUUCGGAUGAUCAAAGGGAGCCAAACGGAAUUAGUCAAGGUUGUGCUAGCAAGGUGCAGCAGGUACAUCACUGAUACUUGCAUCGACCCUCUGGAGCUGUUAGCUUGUCUGAAGGUUGAGGGCCAGAAUGCCUACCAGUUCUGCAUACAGCCACCUGAUGCUCCUGCAUUUGUUGGAAAUAGUCCAGAGCAACUAUUUCACCGGAAAUACUUGAACAUUUCCAGCGAGGCUUUAGCCGGUACGCGAGCAAGAGGGAAAACAAGGGCUGAUGAUUUUCAAAUUGGCCAGGAAUUGCUUCUAAGCAUCAAAGAGGACACUGAAUUUACUAUUGUACGGGACAGCAUAAAGAAGAAGCUUGAGAUGAUCUGUGAUGAGGUUGUUGUCAAUCCCAGCAAGGCCCUUCGGAAACUUCCAAGAGUACAACAUUUGUCAGCUCAAUUAGCUGCAAGAUUAAGAAAUGAGGACGACGAGUUUGACAUCCUAAAUGCUCUUCAUCCAAGCCCAGCUGUUUGUGGUUUGCCCACUGAAGAAGCGCGCCAAUUCAUACGAGAUUAUGAAAUCUUCGACCGUGGAAUGUAUGCUGGACCUGUUGGUUGGUUUGGUGGAGCUGAAAGUGAGUUUGCUGUUGGGAUUAGAUCAGCACUACUUGGAAAAGGAUAUAGCACUUUAGUUUAUGCCGGUGCCGGGAUUGUCGAAGGUACAAAUCCAUCUUUUGAAUGGGAUGAGCUUGAUCUCAAAGCAUCUCAGUUUGCAAAGUUGUUGCAGUAUCAAGAACAUCAUAUUUGCUACCAAGAGGCAGGAAACAUGGGGACAUUGAUUUGA